ACAGAAAUUACAUUGAUGAUUGUGGAUAACUCUGUGCGUAAAAAGGUAUAAAGCGGGGUUUUGCUGGGGAAUGCAGCAGUCAGUCAUUUUUCUGCAAUUUUUCUAUUGCGGCCUGCGGAGAACUCCCUAUAAUGCGCCUCCAUCGACACGGCGGAUGUGAAUCACUUCACACAAACAGCCGGUUCGGUUGAAGAGAAAAAUCCUGAAAUUCAGGGUUGACUCUGAAAGAGGAAAGCGUAAUAUACGCCACCUCGCGACAGUGCGCUAAAGCGCGUCGCAACUGCUCUUUAACAAUUUAUCAGACAAUCUGUGUGGGCAC
Molecule: ribosomal RNA, 319 nt
Filed under: Escherichia coli 6-319-05_S1_C1
Lineage: Bacteria; Pseudomonadati; Pseudomonadota; Gammaproteobacteria; Enterobacterales; Enterobacteriaceae
Description: partial 23S ribosomal RNA
Source: RNAcentral